RNAcentral lists this ribosomal RNA (208 nucleotides) under uncultured bacterium. RNAcentral describes it as "partial 16S ribosomal RNA". It matches the Rfam family "Bacterial small subunit ribosomal RNA", at positions 568 to 774 of the family's 1533-position model. The record is from RNAcentral.
UGCGUAGGUGGGCAAGUAAGUCAGUGGUGAAAUCUCCGGGCUUAACCCGGAAACUGCCAUUGAUACUAUUUGUCUUGAAUACUGUGGAGGUCAGCGGAAUAUGUCAUGUAGCGGUGAAAUGCUUAGAUAUGACAUAGAACACCAAUUGCGAAGGCAGCUGGCUACACAAAUAUUGACACUGAGGCACGAAAGCGGUGGGGAUCAAACA